UCCCAGACUCCUACGGGAGGCAGCAGUAGGGAAUAUUGCACAAUGGGGGAAACCCUGAUGCAGCGACGCCGCGUGAGUGAAGAAGUAUCUCGGUACGUAAAGCUCUAUCAGCAGGGAAGAAAAUGACGGUACCUGACUAAGAAGCCCCGGCUAACUACGUGCCAGCAGCCGCGGUAAUACGUAGGGGGCAAGCGUUAUCCGGAUUUACUGGGUGUAAAGGGAGCGUAGACGGUGAAGCAAGUCUGAAGUGAAAGGCGGGGGCUCAACCCCCGGACUGCUUUGGAAACUGUUUGACUGGAGUGCAGGAGAGGUAAGUGGAAUUCCUAGUGUAGCGGUGAAAUGCGUAGAUAUUAGGAGGAACACCAGUGGCGAAGGCGGCUUACUGGACUGUAACUGACGUUGAGGCUCGAAAGCGUGGGGAGCAAACAGGAUUAGAUACCCUCGUAGC
Molecule: ribosomal RNA, 448 nt
Filed under: uncultured bacterium
Lineage: Bacteria
Description: bacterial SSU rRNA
Rfam family: Bacterial small subunit ribosomal RNA
Source: RNAcentral